UACGUAGGGUGCAAGCGUUGUCCGGAAUUAUUGGGCGUAAAGAGCUUGUAGGCGGUUUGUCGCGUCUGCUGUGAAAAUCCGGGGCUCAACCCCGGACUUGCAGUGGGUACGGGCAGACUAGAGUGUGGUAGGGGAGACUGGAAUUCCUGGUGUAGCGGUGAAAUGCGCAGAUAUCAGGAGGAACACCGAUGGCGAAGGCAGGUCUCUGGGCCACUACUGACGCUGAGAAGCGAAAGCAUGGGGAGCGAACAGGAUUAGAUACCCGGUA
Molecule: ribosomal RNA, 268 nt
Filed under: uncultured prokaryote
Description: partial 16S ribosomal RNA
Rfam family: Bacterial small subunit ribosomal RNA
Source: RNAcentral